UGUCGCUGACCAAAGGAUUACCCAAU
RNAcentral lists this non-coding RNA (26 nucleotides) under Mus musculus (house mouse). The record is from RNAcentral. Lineage: Eukaryota; Metazoa; Chordata; Mammalia; Rodentia; Muridae.